UGGGGAAUAUUGCACAAUGGGCGAAAGCCUGAUGCAGCAACGCCGCGUGAGUGAUGAAGGUCUUCGGAUUGUAAAGCUCUGUCUUUUGGGACGAUAAUGACGGUACCAAAGGAGGAAGCCACGGCUAACUACGUGCCAGCAGCCGCGGUAAUACGUAGGUGGCGAGCGUUGUCCGGAUUUACUGGGCGUAAAGGGUGCGUAGGCGGAUGUUUAAGUGAGAUGUGAAAUACCCGGGCUUAACUUGGGUGCUGCAUUUCAAACUGGAUAUCUAGAGUGCAGGAGAGGAGAAUGGAAUUCCUAGUGUAGCGGUGAAAUGCGUAGAGAUUAGGAAGAACACCAGUGGCGAAGGCGAUUCUCUGGACUGUAACUGACGCUGAGGCACGAAAGCGUGGGUAGCAAACAGGAUUAGAUACCCUGGUAGUCCACGCCGUAAACGAUGAGUACUAGGUGUAGGAGGUAUCGACCCCUUCUGUGCCGCAGUAAACACAUUAAGUACUCCGCCUG
Molecule: ribosomal RNA, 504 nt
Filed under: uncultured bacterium
Lineage: Bacteria
Description: partial 16S ribosomal RNA
Rfam family: Bacterial small subunit ribosomal RNA
Source: RNAcentral